GGAGUUUGGGCCGUGUCUCAGUCCCAAUGUGGCCGGUCGCCCUCUCAGGUCGGCUACUGAUCGUCGCUUUGGUGGGCCGUUACCCUGCCAACUGGCUAAUCAAACGCGGGUCCAUCCUUAAGCGAAUUUCCUUUCCUCACUGAGUCAUGCGACUCUGUAAGCAUAUGGCGUAUUAGCAGUGAUUUCUCACUGUUAUUCGCCUCUUAAGGGCAGGUUACCCACGCGUUACUCACCCGUCCGCCACUAGAAUUUCUUUGAAUCCAGCGAACCUUCAUCAAAGAGUUCCCGUUCGACUUGCAUGUGUUAGGCACGCCGCCAGCGUUCAUC
RNAcentral lists this ribosomal RNA (327 nucleotides) under uncultured Lachnospiraceae bacterium. RNAcentral describes it as "partial 16S ribosomal RNA". The record is from RNAcentral. Lineage: Bacteria; Bacillati; Bacillota; Clostridia; Lachnospirales; Lachnospiraceae.